Long non-coding RNA from Astatotilapia calliptera (eastern happy), 791 nucleotides. The record is from Ensembl. Lineage: Eukaryota; Metazoa; Chordata; Actinopteri; Cichliformes; Cichlidae.
UGCAAAUGUUUCAACCUGAACAACUUAAAACUUCUCUGGGAUACAAUGUAAACAAAGACAAGAAGAAGAAAAAUAUUUCCAUCAAUAGUCACUUUUCCUAACCAGGAGACAAGUGAAUAUAUUAUGUAAAGAGUCCUUUUUCUCAGUCCUGGGGUUGUAACACCACAACCUCCUCAGUCCGUAAUCAAAGAGUGUCUAUUUGACAAUAACCAAAAUGUCUUUGGAUAGUCUUUGUGAAUGAAAACAAAACAAAAACAAACAAAUGGUAUUAGCUGGCCAGCAAAAUAAAGAGAGUGUAUGGCACUGACUGGCCAGCAAAAUAAAGAGAGUGUAUGGCACUGAGUGCGGGCGUGUGUGUGAGUACUUCGGUCCAAAUAAUCAAGGUCCGGAUGGAUGAAGGGAUGGCGGCCGCUUGUCCUUUAAUGGCACCAGUAAGGCAGCACAGUAGUAAGGCAGCACAGCAGCGAGGCAGCACAGCAGUAAGGCAGCACAGCAGCGAAGCGUCUGGCAGGAGAACGAACAAUAGUCCUUUUCAAGGCUACUGCAGAAGGCGAUAUUCCCCGCUAGCUCACCCCAGCUUGCUCUCUGGCACAGCUACAAGCCACGUGAGCUCAUAGCCCCUCCCGCUAGGAUGUACUACCACAGUCGACUGUCGUAAAGCAGCCGCAAACCAAUAGCAAUAAAAAAAAACCUCAAAAUCAUUGAAGAACAUUUUAUAACACCCAAUAUAGGUAUAUACAUAUAUACUGAAUAUCACACAAUAUCAGAUAACCAAAUUAACACUGGGUUAC